RNAcentral lists this ribosomal RNA (236 nucleotides) under uncultured Lepiota. RNAcentral's name for it is "5.8S ribosomal RNA". The stretch from base 26 to 179 matches the Rfam family "5.8S ribosomal RNA". Rfam says of the family: 5.8S ribosomal RNA (5.8S rRNA) is a component of the large subunit of the eukaryotic ribosome. It is transcribed by RNA polymerase I as part of the 45S precursor that also contains 18S and 28S rRNA. Functionally, it is thought that 5.8S rRNA may be involved in ribosome translocation. Lineage: Eukaryota; Fungi; Basidiomycota; Agaricomycetes; Agaricales; Agaricaceae. The record is from RNAcentral.
CCCAUGUGCCUAUAAAACUCAAUACAACUUUCAGCAACGGAUCUCUUGGCUCUCGCAUCGAUGAAGAACGCAGCGAAAUGCGAUAAGUAAUGUGAAUUGCAGAAUUCAGUGAAUCAUCGAAUCUUUGAACGCACCUUGCGCUCCUUGGUAUUCCGAGGAGCAUGCCUGUUUGAGUGUCACUAAAUUCUCAACCACUCCAGCCUUUGCAGGUUGGAUGUGGCUUGGAUGUUGGGGGU